CUACGGGCCGCUCCAGUGAGGAAUAUUGCACAAUGGGGGAAACCCUGAUGCAGCAACGCCGCGUGGAGGAUGACGCAUUUCGGUGUGUAAACUCCUUUUAUAUGUCAAGAAAAUGACGGUAGCAUAUGAAUAAGCACCGGCUAACUCCGUGCCAGCAGCCGCGGUAAUACGGAGGGUGCAAGCGUUACUCGGAAUCACUGGGCGUAAAGGACGCGUAGGCGGGUUGUCAAGUCAGGUGUGAAAUCCUACAGCUUAACUGUAGAACUGCACUUGAAACUGGCAGCCUAGAGUAUGGGAGGGGGAGAUGGAAUUAGUAGUGUAGGGGUAAAAUCCGUAGAUAUUACUAGGAAUAUCAAAAGCGAAGGCGAUCUCCUGGAACAUUACUGACGCUAAGGCGUGAAAGCGUGGGGAGCAAACAGGAUUAGAUACCCUUGUAGUC
Molecule: ribosomal RNA, 439 nt
Filed under: uncultured bacterium
Lineage: Bacteria
Description: partial 16S ribosomal RNA
Rfam family: Bacterial small subunit ribosomal RNA
Source: RNAcentral